AAUUCUCUUAGCACAUCAGCUCCUGGAAACAAAUGCACUUAACCAGAAAAACAGGGACAUCAACCAGCAAAGAUGCAUCCUCAUUUAAUAGAGCUUGAAAUUACUAUAAUCUGUAAAGUACAGCGAGAAGAAGAAGUUUCACCUGCCUGCACAUCUGUCGUUGACUCUCCAUCUGACUUGGAGGGACUCUGAGGGACCAACCUGAGCCUGAGAAGAGGCAAGAUUCCCCUUCAAGGACACACUGGGAACUUACGGACCUCUUUCUCCAUGGUGCAGAGCGCAGAGGUGAACAAACAGACGCAUAAUAGCUCUUGAGCUUGCCAUUGGGAAGUGAAAAUCAACUGCUUGAAUAAAUGUAAGGACUCAGACCUCUGCAUUCUGGCAAUCAACUGACCUCACCUGGAAUCACGAGUCAUGACUGAACCGGUCCUGUGGCCCCACCUGGGGAUAAACUCAGCACACAAGGAUCAUUUUCCACACCUCUAUGAUUUCAUAGGCAACCAAUCAACGGCACCCAUUUUUUAGCCUCCUGCUCGCCAAAGCAUCUUUGAAAAAUCCUAACCUCCAAGCCUUCGGGGAGACUGAUUUGAGUAAUAACUCUGUUCCCUGCAUGGCUGGUCUAGUGUCAAUUAAACUCUUUCUUUACUGCCAUACCAUAGUCUCAGCGAAUUGGUUUUGUCUGUGCAAUGGGCAGGAAGAACGUGUCUGGUGAGCAUCUCCACACAUUCAGAAAUUGUCCAUCUAAGACAAUGGAGUUAUUUUCACCCUCAACAAAUGCCUCAACUCUGUGACAUUUUAAGCAAAUCUUAACUUUGACUUAUGAAUUCAAGAAGGAAAAAAAAAAAGUAAGAAAAUGUUGAUUGUAAUAUUUCCUCUGAACGUCCUUCCCCUGGGGACAGGCUCCCUUGCUGUUGUGUGGUCACUGUUCCCAUUAACCUAACGAAAUCUACACUUGCAAAUGAAGUCCUGGGGUCCACACUAAAUGUUCACAGUCUGGCCACAUGCUAAUAUUCCAUGUGCUAGCCCAUAUCUUUAAAUAGACUCAUGGAAAUGUGUUAAAUGAUAUAACAGAAUAAAAAUCAAGCUUAACUUAAA
Homo sapiens (human) is the source of this 1095-nucleotide long non-coding RNA. Ensembl annotates it as long intergenic non-protein coding RNA 507. The record is from Ensembl. NCBI's taxonomy places the organism in Eukaryota, Metazoa, Chordata, Mammalia, Primates, Hominidae.